Molecule: ribosomal RNA, 497 nt
Filed under: Panstrongylus geniculatus
Lineage: Eukaryota; Metazoa; Arthropoda; Insecta; Hemiptera; Reduviidae
Description: partial large subunit ribosomal RNA
Rfam family: Bacterial large subunit ribosomal RNA
Source: RNAcentral
AAAAACAUGUCCUUUUGUUAUUUAUUUAAGGUCUAGCCUGCCCAAUGAGGAAUUGAAUGGCCGCAGUAUUCUAACUGUGCUAAGGUAGCAUAAUCAUUUGUCUUUUAAUUGAGGGCUGGAAUGAAAGGUUGGACGAGGCAUUAACUUUCUUUGAUUUAAAUAUAAGAACUUAAUUUUUGAGUUAAAAAGCUUAAAUUUAUUUGUUGGACGAGAAGACCCUAUAGAUCUUUAUAAUUUUAUAUUUUGGUAAUUUGGGGAUUUAAUUAGUUUAGAGUUGAGAAAUUAUUUUGUUGGGGUGACUUUAGAAUUUGAAGAACUUCUAUUUGUUUAGUUCAUUUAUUAAUGUCUUUUUGAUCCAUUUUUUAUGAUUAUAAGAUUAAGUUACCUUAGGGAUAACAGCGUAAUUUUUCCGGAGAGUUCAUAUUGAUGGAGGAGUUUGCGACCUCGAUGUUGGAUUAAAAUAAGUUAUGGAUGCAGAAGUCUAUUUACUAGGUCUG